This 490-nucleotide ribosomal RNA is filed under the name uncultured bacterium. RNAcentral describes it as "partial 16S ribosomal RNA". It matches the Rfam family "Bacterial small subunit ribosomal RNA", at positions 30 to 507 of the family's 1533-position model. The record is from RNAcentral.
AUUGAACGCUGGCGGCAGGCCUAACACAUGCAAGUCGAACGGUAACAGGAAGCAGCUUGCUGCUUUGCUGACGAGUGGCGGACGGGUGAGUAAUGUCUGGGAAACUUCCCGAUGGAGGGGGAUAACUACUGGAAACGGUAGCUAAUACCGCAUAACGUCGCAAGACCAAAGAGGGGGACCUUAGGGCCUCUUGCCAUCGGAUGUGCCCAGAUGGGAUUAGCUAGUAGGUGGGGUAACGGCUCACCUAGGCGACGAUCCCUAGCUGGUCUGAGAGGAUGACCAGCCACACUGGAACUGAGACACGGUCCAGACUCCUACGGGAGGCAGCAGUGGGGAAUAUUGCACAAUGGGCGCAAGCCUGAUGCAGCCAUGCCGCGUGUAUGAGGAAGGCCUUCGGGUUGUAAAGUACUUUCAGCGGGGAGGAAGGGAGUAAAGUUAAUACCUUCGCUCAUUGACGUUACCCGCAGAAGAAGCACCGGCUAACUCCGUG